CCCGAUCCCUUCUCUCCUCCACCGAUUCUUCUUCUUCUCCAUUUCACCUCUCCAUUUCUUCUGUGUGAUCUAGGAUUUCUGAUUUCUGUUUUAAAAUCACAAAAAAAUCAGGAUUUUUGAUUUCAUGUUUAAAAUAGCAUGUUAAUAGAGUAUCGAUAGAUAGGUAGCUUCAACGUAAGGAAUCUAAAUUGGUUUUAGCUCAAAAGCGAAAACGAUGGGUUCCAUUGAAGAAGAAGCAAGACCUCUCAUCGAAGAAUGUUUAAUAUUACAGGUCUGUUCAAUUUCAAUCUCUUGGAUUCGGUUAAUCAAUUAGGUUUUGCGAAUUUUGAUUUUGCUGAAAUUUCAGAACUUUUGACUUUAGAUUGAUCUUAUGCAUUUUUAUUCUGGGUUUAUUGAGAUCUUUUCUGGGUAAUUACUGUUUUAUCUUAGUGUUCUUGAUCGUUUUUGAUUUAGGUGAUGAUUCCAAUGUUUGAGUUUUGCAAAUAAAGAUCAAAUUUUGCUUGAUUUAGUUAGCUAAUUUAUUGUUGUCUUUGGCAAUUUUGUUGAACUAGGAAGCGAAAUUGUAUGUUGAAGAUGGUUCAGUGGACUUUAAUGGAAACCCACCAUUGAAGGAGAAAACAUGAAACUGGAAAGCUUGUCCUUUUAUACUUGGUAAUGAAUGUUGUGAGAGGCUAGCUUACUAUGGUAUUGCUGGGAAUCUUAUCACUUACCUCACCACUAAGCUACAUCAAAGAAAUGUGUCUGCUGCUACAAACGUUAUCACAUGGCAAGGGACUUGUUAUCUUACUCCUCUCGAUGGUCAUAUCUCAUGAGUGUAUAUAGCUUCUGUGUCUAUCGGUUCUGAAGUGAAUUGAAUUGAAUUAGCUUGAAUUAGCUUGUGCAUAUUUAAACUAGCAAAUGGAUUUGAUUCUUGGGAUCUUUCCACAGAGACUACAGAAAAUCAGAAAUCUUAUACACUUGAAUCUUUACUUAAGUCUAGUUGUAUCUGCAUACACCAAAUUUCCCUUGUAGAUUAUGCGUCAUUCUUAUAGUUACAUUCUCUUGUUUGUAUAUGCAGGUUCCCUGACGCUAUACCGACCAUGAAGCCAAUGAUGACUUCUCUUCCAAAUGCAUUUAUUGCGACCAAUACAAAAGUAUUACUUGAAUGGUUAUAGAUAUGAGCUGGCUUUGAGCAUUGUGUGCACGUUAUUCUUUAAUCAUGUGAUAUAUUUGGUUUCUCUCUAGUUAGAGAAGCUUUGGUUUGGUCUGUGAGCUGUUUGAUUUUCUUCAAGCAAUUUUGGUGUUGUGAUGGAACUCUCCUCUCUUCUUACUUAUACUUUAGGACUUUUUGUUUACCAUAGAUUAUUUGCUUUGGACUACUCCUUAAGCUAGAGGGUAAUAUUUAUGCUUCUAGGUUUGUUUUUUUAGAUUGUAAUAUUACCUUUUGUAAUCUUAUGUUUUUAUAUAUUUAUUUUCGAUUUUGCAAACUUUUUUUUUUUUUUUUAUGAUACUUAAACCAGUCUCACCAAUAGAAACAUAUUUAGUACCGGUAUCAUAAAAAAUCUCAAACAAUAAAAAAAUAUUAAAAUUAAUACUAAAAAAUUAUUAAUGAUACUCUAUUAGUAUCAACCAUGUACAUGCUUUAAGAAUGUUUUUGUUUUUCAAUGUCUGUCGAAAUGUAACAUGCGUUGACUUAUUUUUUCAG
Molecule: long non-coding RNA, 1684 nt
Filed under: Arabidopsis lyrata
Lineage: Eukaryota; Viridiplantae; Streptophyta; Magnoliopsida; Brassicales; Brassicaceae
Description: long non-coding RNA (ALYR_LNC000833)
Source: RNAcentral